Long non-coding RNA from Xiphophorus hellerii (green swordtail), 599 nucleotides. RefSeq lists it as uncharacterized. The transcript is spliced from 2 exons. NCBI's taxonomy places the organism in Eukaryota, Metazoa, Chordata, Actinopteri, Cyprinodontiformes, Poeciliidae. The record is from RefSeq and is a predicted model, not a curated record.
CCCUCCAGCCCAGCAGGGAUCCUCCUGGUCAUCCCCCUAAGUUACUCUGAGCUGGUUUUGUGGAGACAUAAAGUUCAUUUCAGGUAGCUGAAGUUUUCAGUUGUUUUUAUGCUGCUGAACUGAACUUCAAGUUUAUUUUAUUUCCCCUGCAGAUGUAACUUUGCUUGUUCUUCGCUUGUGUCCAGGCUGAAAGCUGAAGGCUGUGGUCGAUCUUUGGACGCUUUCUUCCCGUCUGCAGUUGCGGCCCGGUGGGAAACGAACCGGCAGAUGGUUGGAUCUACUUUUCUUUCCUCCACACUGACUCAGCUGGACCAGACUGACCUUCUGAUGUUCAUCCAUCUAAUUUACUGCAGCAUUAAUCCACAGCACUUCAAUAACUGAUUAAAUACAGAAAAAAAGUCUUUUUAUCGUUUCACAACAGAUUUGACAUCAUCCAUCAUUUAAACACAAUCUGUUAAAAAACAGAUCAAGCAAAAACAUUUGAGAAUUUAUUACAGUUUUCAUCACAUUAAUAAAAUGAUGUGACUGCAGCAUUAAUCCGCACAACAUUCAGUGUUGAUGCGUUUCGAUAAUUAAACACAGAGAAAUUUGUCCUUUUA